This 207-nucleotide long non-coding RNA is filed under the name Hordeum vulgare. RNAcentral describes it as "long non-coding RNA (HVUL_LNC021632)". The record is from RNAcentral. Lineage: Eukaryota; Viridiplantae; Streptophyta; Magnoliopsida; Poales; Poaceae.
ACUCUGUUAAGUACUAGUAGAUUCAGAAAUUUAGUUCAUAGAAUUAUUGGUAGGAGCAGUAAACGAGUCAAACAAAAAUAUCCAUAUGCAAAUGUCGGUCUAUGUUUGAUUCAAUUUGGUUUGCUCUGCUACUGAAGCUCCUAUCCGGUCUAAUGUUUUUUGUUUUGUCUCUUUUUCUGUUGCUAGGAAAGUGAUGAGAAGAUGUCG